This 1141-nucleotide ribosomal RNA is filed under the name Escherichia coli. RNAcentral's name for it is "partial 23S ribosomal RNA". It matches the Rfam family "Bacterial large subunit ribosomal RNA", at positions 55 to 1238 of the family's 2925-position model. The record is from RNAcentral. Lineage: Bacteria; Pseudomonadati; Pseudomonadota; Gammaproteobacteria; Enterobacterales; Enterobacteriaceae.
GACGUGCUAAUCUGCGAUAAGCGUCGGUGAGGUGAUAUGAACCGUUAUAACCGGCGAUUUCCGAAUGGGGAAACCCAGUGUGUUUCGACACACUAUCAUUAACUGAAUCCAUAGGUUAAUGAGGCGAACCGGGGGAACUGAAACAUCUAAGUACCCCGAGGAAAAGAAAUCAACCGAGAUUCCCCCAGUAGCGGCGAGCGAACGGGGAGGAGCCCAGAGCCUGAAUCAGUGUGUGUGUUAGUGGAAGCGUCUGGAAAGGCGCGCGAUACAGGGUGACAGCCCCGUACACAAAAAUGCACAUACUGUGAGCUCGAUGAGUAGGGCGGGACACGUGGUAUCCUGUCUGAAUAUGGGGGGACCAUCCUCCAAGGCUAAAUACUCCUGACUGACCGAUAGUGAACCAGUACCGUGAGGGAAAGGCGAAAAGAACCCCGGCGAGGGGAGUGAAAAAGAACCUGAAACCGUGUACGUACAAGCAGUGGGAGCCUCUUAAUGGGGUGACUGCGUACCUUUUGUAUAAUGGGUCAGCGACUUAUAUUCUGUAGCAAGGUUAACCGAAUAGGGGAGCCGAAGGGAAACCGAGUCUUAACUGGGCGUUAAGUUGCAGGGUAUAGACCCGAAACCCGGUGAUCUAGCCAUGGGCAGGUUGAAGGUUGGGUAACACUAACUGGAGGACCGAACCGACUAAUGUUGAAAAAUUAGCGGAUGACUUGUGGCUGGGGGUGAAAGGCCAAUCAAACCGGGAGAUAGCUGGUUCUCCCCGAAAGCUAUUUAGGUAGCGCCUCGUGAAUUCAUCUCCGGGGGUAGAGCACUGUUUCGGCAAGGGGGUCAUCCCGACUUACCAACCCGAUGCAAACUGCGAAUACCGGAGAAUGUUAUCACGGGAGACACACGGCGGGUGCUAACGUCCGUCGUGAAGAGGGAAACAACCCAGACCGCCAGCUAAGGUCCCAAAGUCAUGGUUAAGUGGGAAACGAUGUGGGAAGGCCCAGACAGCCAGGAUGUUGGCUUAGAAGCAGCCAUCAUUUAAAGAAAGCGUAAUAGCUCACUGGUCGAGUCGGCCUGCGCGGAAGAUGUAACGGGGCUAAACCAUGCACCGAAGCUGCGGCAGCGACACUAUGUGUUGUUGGGUAGGGGAGCG